UGGACGGGUCGGUCGGUGGGCCGGCCACACACGCUGAGAAUCUUCCUCAUGAUGGACCUCGGAUCAGGUAGGGAUACCCGCUGAACUUAAGCAUAUCAAUAAGC
Molecule: ribosomal RNA, 104 nt
Filed under: Acidotalaromyces lignorum
Lineage: Eukaryota; Fungi; Ascomycota; Eurotiomycetes; Eurotiales; Trichocomaceae
Description: Penicillium lignorum partial 28S ribosomal RNA
Source: RNAcentral